ACCUGGAUGGCUCAGUGGGUAGAGCUUCCAACUUUUGAUUUUGGGAUUGUGAGUUUGAGCCUCAUGUUAGGUG
This 73-nucleotide transfer RNA is filed under the name Felis catus (domestic cat). It matches the Rfam family "tRNA". From Rfam's summary of the family: Transfer RNA (tRNA) molecules are approximately 80 nucleotides in length. Their secondary structure includes four short double-helical elements and three loops (D, anti-codon, and T loops). Further hydrogen bonds mediate the characteristic L-shaped molecular structure. tRNAs have two regions of fundamental functional importance: the anti-codon, which is responsible for specific mRNA codon recognition, and the 3' end, to which the tRNAs corresponding amino acid is attached (by aminoacyl-tRNA synthetases). tRNAs cope with the degeneracy of the genetic code in two manners: having more than one tRNA (with a specific anti-codon) for a particular amino acid; and 'wobble' base-pairing, i.e. permitting non-standard base-pairing at the 3rd anti-codon position. The record is from Rfam by way of RNAcentral. Lineage: Eukaryota; Metazoa; Chordata; Mammalia; Carnivora; Felidae. RNAcentral also lists the same sequence under 5 other names.